RNAcentral lists this long non-coding RNA (928 nucleotides) under Chinchilla lanigera (long-tailed chinchilla). Its description in RNAcentral is "lncRNA (ENSCLAG00000024820.1)". Lineage: Eukaryota; Metazoa; Chordata; Mammalia; Rodentia; Chinchillidae. The record is from RNAcentral.
GAGGGCAAGUGUUUCAAAGCAUGUACACAUAUACAUCUCCUGAGAUGAUUUUCCUUUUCCUUCCAGAGCAAGCAUAAGCCUAUCUUAAUCUACAUGGCCACUUCCUACAGGACUCCAGUAACACAUAAUCCUCACCAUAAGGCAUUCUCCAAAGCUACAGUGAUUUCCCAUCGGAAUUCUCAUUGUACCCUGAAUUCAUCUUCACAAUUACCCCAACCGCAUUGUUUUCAUUAUAUUACUUGACAUGGGAUGAAGAGAUGUGUGACAAGUGACUGAGUCAGCCUUAUCCAACACACUUUGAAGAGGCCAAGCAAACAGGGUGGAAGACCUACCCCAGACUUGGGUACCACUGACCAACAGGCACGUAGUCUAUGUGGAAUGAAAAAGGCAAAGAAGUAAAAGAAAAAGAAAUGGCUCCAUUUGCAGAGUGGGGGCUCCUUCCUCACCGUUACCUUUGGAUGUUGGUCUCCAGUUUCUUCAUCCUGCUAAUGUCUUCCAGCAUGGACUGGCACUGCUGACUCCAGAGUGAGCUUUCAGGCUUUCAAUUUUCUACUGCCACCGUGUCUUCCAGCCCUCCAACACACAAAAGGGCUGUUUCAGGAACCCGGGAAAAAUGGAGCCUUUGGAGGAUGAGAAGAUGUGAAAAGACAUCUUGCUCAGAGCCUUUGUUGUUACCUUGGGUACUCAGACACACACGGGAUUCACCUUCUCCACCCACAGAAGACAUCUUUUCCUCUUCUGCACGGUACAUAGAACAACAGGAAUGGAUGCCACGAAGCCAAUGCCCAAUGAUUCUCCUCAGGAAAUGAGUGUGAGAAGGUGUAAAUAUGAAAAGAGGGAAAAAACAAACAGAUACACCUGUGGAAGACCGGUCCAAAUAACCUGAACUGCUGAAACAUUGAGGUAAGUUUUAAAACUUAGACAAGGG